RNAcentral lists this ribosomal RNA (114 nucleotides) under uncultured bacterium. Its description in RNAcentral is "partial 16S ribosomal RNA". It matches the Rfam family "Bacterial small subunit ribosomal RNA", at positions 1369 to 1482 of the family's 1533-position model. The record is from RNAcentral.
CGUUCCCGGGCCUUGUACACACCGCCCGUCACACCACGAAAGUUGGUAACACCCGAAGCCGGUGGCCUAACCGCAAGGAGGGAGCCGUCGAAGGUGGGAUCAGCGAUUGGGGUG